GUUGUACUUGAAAGGAUCCAAGAAGAAUCCAUUCAGACAGAAUCUGUUGUCACAUUUAGUAAAGGGGAUGAAGUGGAGGCCUUCUACUCUCCUGAGAAAACAUGGUACCGGGCAAAGGUUUUGGGGAAAAGGAAGAACCCAGAAGGUUACAGAGUGAAGUAUGUGUGUGAUAGCUAUGUAGAAGUUGUAAAGCC
Saccostrea echinata is the source of this 194-nucleotide long non-coding RNA. RefSeq lists it as uncharacterized. Lineage: Eukaryota; Metazoa; Mollusca; Bivalvia; Ostreida; Ostreidae. The transcript is spliced from 3 exons. The record is from RefSeq and is a predicted model, not a curated record.